GAUGAACGCUGGCGGCGUGCCUAAUACAUGCAAGUCGAGCGGAAAGGCCUCUUCGGAGGUACUCGAGCGGCGGACGGCUGAGUAACGCGUAGGAACGUACCCCAAAGUGAGGGAUAACUGCUCGAAAGAGUAGCUAAUACCGCAUGUGGUCUAAGGAUUAAAGCUUCGGCGCUUUGGGAACGGCCUGCGUAAGAUUAGCUUGUUGGUGAGGUAACGGCUCACCAAGGCGACGAUCUUUAGCUGGUCUGAGAGGAUGAUCAGCCAGACUGGUACUGAGACACGGACCAGACUCCUACGGGAGGCAGCAGUAAGGAAUAUUGGACAAUGGCCGCAAGGCUGAUCCAGCCAUGCCGCGUGCAGGAAGACGGACCUAUGGUUUGUAAACUGCUUUUGAACGGGAGAAAACCCCCCUACCGUGUAGGGGCGGUNA
RNAcentral lists this ribosomal RNA (430 nucleotides) under uncultured bacterium. RNAcentral's name for it is "bacterial SSU rRNA". It matches the Rfam family "Bacterial small subunit ribosomal RNA", at positions 28 to 475 of the family's 1533-position model. The record is from RNAcentral.